This 714-nucleotide ribosomal RNA is filed under the name uncultured beta proteobacterium. RNAcentral describes it as "bacterial SSU rRNA". It matches the Rfam family "Bacterial small subunit ribosomal RNA", at positions 101 to 811 of the family's 1533-position model. The record is from RNAcentral. Lineage: Bacteria; Pseudomonadati; Pseudomonadota; Betaproteobacteria.
AACGGGUGAGUAAUAUAUCGGAACAUACCCAGUAGUGGGGGAUAACUAUCCGAAAGGAUAGCUAAUACCGCAUACGAUCUGUGGAUGAAAGCAGGGGAUCUUCGGACCUUGUGCUAUUGGAAUGGCCGAUAUCUGAUUAGCUAGUUGGUAAGGUAAAAGCCUACCAAGGCGACGAUCAGUAGCUGGUCUGAGAGGACGACCAGCCACACUGGAACUGAGACACGGUCCAGACUCCUACGGGAGGCAGCAGUGGGGAAUUUUGGACAAUGGGGGCAACCCUGAUCCAGCAAUGCCGCGUGAGUGAAGAAGGCCCUCGGGUUGUAAAGCUCUUUUGUCAGGGAAGAAACGGAGUUCUCUAAUAUAGGAUUCUAAUGACGGUACCUGAAGAAUAAGCACCGGCUAACUACGUGCCAGCAGCCGCGGUAAUACGUAGGGUGCGAGCGUUAAUCGGAAUUACUGGGCGUAAAGCGUGCGCAGGCGGUUUUGUAAGUCUGAUGUGAAAUCCCCGGGCUCAACCUGGGAACUGCAUUGGAGACUGCAAGGCUAGAGUGUGUCAGAGGGGGGUAGAAUUCCACGUGUAGCAGUGAAAUGCGUAGAGAUGUGGAGGAAUACCGAUGGCGAAGGCAGCCCCCUGGGAUAACACUGACGCUCAUGCACGAAAGCGUGGGGAGCAAACAGGAUUAGAUACCCUGGUAGUCCACGCCCUAAACGAUG